CAAAAACAUGGUUUUUUGUUUAUAUAAAAAAUCUGGCCUGCUCAGUGAAUUUUAAAUAGCUGCAGUAUUUUGACUGUACAAAGGUAGCAUAAUCACUUGUCUUUUAAUUGAGGUCUGGAAUGAAUGGUUUGAUGAAAAAUAUACUUUAUUUAUUUUUAAUAAAAAAUUUAAUUUUUGAGUUAAAAAGCUUUGAAAUUUUUUUAUAGGACGAGAAGACCCUAUAGAACUUUAUUUGUAUAUUUUUAUAUUUUUUCUAGAUUAUAUAUUUUUAAUAAAAAUAUAUAAAUUUUGUUGGGGUGACAAAAAAAAUAAAAUAACUUUUUUUUAUUUUUACAUUUAUUUAUGUAUGUUUGAUCCUUUACUUUGGAAAAAAGAAUAAGUUACCUUAGGGAUAACAGCGUUAUUAUUUUGGAGAGUUCAUAUCGAUGAAAUAGUUUGCGACCUCGAUGUUGGAUUAAAAUAAGAUAUAGAAGUAGAAUGUUAUAUUCUUGGUCUGUUCGACCUUUAAAUUUUUACAUGAUCU
Molecule: ribosomal RNA, 523 nt
Filed under: Orthotylinae gen. ZANCGEN4 sp. Msp060
Lineage: Eukaryota; Metazoa; Arthropoda; Insecta; Hemiptera; Miridae
Description: partial large subunit ribosomal RNA
Rfam family: Bacterial large subunit ribosomal RNA
Source: RNAcentral